This 232-nucleotide long non-coding RNA is filed under the name Dasypus novemcinctus (nine-banded armadillo). RNAcentral's name for it is "lncRNA (ENSDNOG00000052176.1)". The record is from RNAcentral. Lineage: Eukaryota; Metazoa; Chordata; Mammalia; Cingulata; Dasypodidae.
GUGCGACCGCGCCGGGCGCAGGGGCGGGGAGGCCCGGAGCCAUUUAAGCCCCGAGAGCCGCCGGGGGGGGGGGAGGCGGCGGGCGCCCGCGCGCACUAGGUCCUCUGCCUGCCGAGCAGCCGCCGCCUGCCCAGUGACCAUGCUAGAGCGAAGCUCCUAAGUGAGCUUGGUGACUGACGCUGGCGGAAUUCCAUGCAGUGCGGCUGUUGGCCCCAAGCAAGAUGAGCACAAU